This 465-nucleotide ribosomal RNA is filed under the name Vreelandella stevensii. RNAcentral's name for it is "partial 16S ribosomal RNA". It matches the Rfam family "Bacterial small subunit ribosomal RNA", at positions 338 to 795 of the family's 1533-position model. The record is from RNAcentral. Lineage: Bacteria; Pseudomonadati; Pseudomonadota; Gammaproteobacteria; Oceanospirillales; Halomonadaceae.
CCUACGGGUGGCUGCAGUGGGGAAUAUUGGACAAUGGGGGGAACCCUGAUCCAGCCAUGCCGCGUGUGUGAAGAAGGCCCUCGGGUUGUAAAGCACUUUCAGUGAGGAAGAACGCCUGGUGGUUAAUACCCAUCAGGAAAGACAUCACUCACAGAAGAAGCACCGGCUAACUCCGUGCCAGCAGCCGCGGUAAUACGGAGGGUGCGAGCGUUAAUCGGAAUUACUGGGCGUAAAGCGCGCGUAGGUGGCUUGAUAAGCCGGUUGUGAAAGCCCCGGGCUCAACCUGGGAACGGCAUCCGGAACUGUGAAGCUAGAGUGCAGGAGAGGAAGGUAGAAUUCCCGGUGUAGCGGUGAAAUGCGUAGAGAUCGGGAGGAAUACCAGUGGCGAAGGCGGCCUUCUGGACUGACACUGACACUGAGGUGCGAAAGCGUGGGUAGCAAACAGGAUUAGAUACCCCGGUAGUC